UACGAAGGGGGCUAGCGUUGCUCGGAAUCACUGGGCGUAAAGCGCACGUAGGCGGCUUUCUAAGUCAGGGGUGAAAUCCCGGAGCUCAACUCCGGAACUGCCCUUGAUACUGGGAAGCUCGAGUUCGGGAGAGGUGAGUGGAACUGCGAGUGUAGAGGUGAAAUUCGUAGAUAUUCGCAAGAACACCAGUGGCGAAGGCGGCUCACUGGCCCGAUACUGACGCUGAGGUGCGAAAGCGUGGGGAGCAAACAGG
This 253-nucleotide ribosomal RNA is filed under the name uncultured bacterium. RNAcentral's name for it is "partial 16S ribosomal RNA". It matches the Rfam family "Bacterial small subunit ribosomal RNA", at positions 524 to 776 of the family's 1533-position model. The record is from RNAcentral.